This 956-nucleotide long non-coding RNA is filed under the name Homo sapiens (human). RNAcentral's name for it is "HSALNT0402747". The record is from RNAcentral. Lineage: Eukaryota; Metazoa; Chordata; Mammalia; Primates; Hominidae.
GUGGCACCCAGAGUCGGUCCUGUAGCUGGGCCGGCUUGGGGCUUGGUUCUAUGUCCCUGUGGGUCGGUGCAAGGGCCAAGAGGAACCCGUAGGCCUCAGGGAAUCCCAGGGGGCCGGACCAGUGUUCCCUAGUUGUGGAAGCAGACGCAUGGGCGAAUCGCGGGAGGGCAGGGCCUGAAGAGCAGGUGCGGGCCACGGACCCAGGCGGAGGCUGGGAGGACAGGCGUGGGGUCCCAGCAGUGAAGCGGGUUCUAGAGGCACAGGAGCGGGUAGGAGAGGCCAGUGGCCCUAGGCCCAGAGUCUGCAGGCCGCGCUCCUGUCCUGCCGCUGAGGGACACGGUUACCAACCAGCAUGAUGCUCAGUUUGCCCAUCUGUCCCAGUGCUAACACACAGUUCUCAGGAGACUUUCCCCAUUCCCAGAGGAGUAGUGUGAAACGCGUGCGCCGCUAGUCUUAAACUUGGUGUUUGUAUUAGUUGGGUUUCCUGGUGUCUCUUUAGCAAGUGAAGUUUCUGGUUCCCUCCUUCACUGUGUGACCUGCCUAGUCCUCCUGGGUCGCAUUUACAGAAGUUUAUACGAGACCUAGUUUCCAGGGAAGAACUCACUGAUUCCACAAGGGAGAUGGCAUAAUAGAUGAUGGUCGUCAGCCUUAAGGGUACUUCAGUCUUAACUGUGUGUUACAAAGUUUGAAAGGGAGGGUUCCCUAUGAAUAAGAAGCACACUUGAAAGAACAGCCAUCUGGUCUAACCUCUCACUGGUGCUUCAGAGGAGGAAAAAAGGUCACAGCUAUGUUUCCAGUGUCCUCUGGGUGUUUCCAAGAGCAACAAGAAACGAAUAAAUAUCUGCCAUAGGAGUUUUAGCCAAUUCAGAGGCCUUGCUCCCCACAAUUUGGAACAUUCCUUUGGAUUUGACCAAGUCAGGAAGAGAUGGGAGAAAAGUGAAACAACAACAAUAAAA